CUGGAACAGGUUGCACAACAUGACUUGGCUCUGAGACGUCACCGCUGCAUUGUUAAGGCAGUUUGAUCAGACCUCACAACCUCUGAGGAUGCUUGCCACAGAUGUGGGCGAAACGUCAGGAGAGAAUGCUUCUGGAACAUGGCCAGACAGCCAGAAAACUCGCAGCAACCUAGAUGGCCCAAGCGUUAUCAUUGUUGUUGGUUUAUUCACUGAUACCCCUUAACAAGCACAGUCAAACAGCCAUCGUCGUAAGAUCAAUAAUGCGCACGAUAUUGCAUGCAGUCAAUAUUGAUGUUGAUGAUUUUAUUCCCUAAUCUAUAUACAGUAGAGUCUCACUUAUCCAACAUUCACUUAUCCAACGUUCUGGAUUAUCCAACGCAUUUUUGUAGUCAAUGUUUUCAAUACUUCAUAAUAUUUUGAUGCUAAAUUCGUAAAUACAAUAAUUACUACGUAGCCUUACUGCAUAUUGAAUUACCUUUUCGGGCAAAUUUGUUGUCUAACAUGAUGUUUUGGUGCUUAAUUUGUAAAAUCAUAACCUAAUUUGAUGUUUAAAAGGCUUCUCCUUAAUCGCUCCUUAUUAUCCAACAUAUUCGCUUAUCCAACGUUCUGCCGGCCCGUUUAUGUUGGAUAAGUGAGACUCUACUGUAUAUAAAAGAGUGAUGGCAUCAGGGCAGCGGACAAAACAACAAAACUACAGGCCCCCCAAUCUCGAAAUUUGACAACACAACCCAUCAUCCAUGGCUCUAGGUUGAUACAACAAAAAGAAAAGAAAAAUAAAGUCCUAAUUAGAGGGAGAGGAAUAAUUGUUUUUAUCCAAUUGCUGCCAGUUAGAAGGCGAAGCUCCACCCACUUGGUCUCCUAGCAAUCGAUUCAGCCCAGGGGACAGGCAGAAUUAGGCUUCACUUAGGCCUCUUCCACAGAUUAUCUAAUUUGCACUGGAUUAUAUGGCAGUGUAGACUCAAGGCCCUUCCACACAGCUAUAUAACCCAUUUAGAAUUGAAUUAUCUCGACUCUACACUGCCAUAUAAUCCACUUCAGUGUGCAUUUUAUACAGUUGUGAAGAUGGGUUAUUCCUCAAUACUUUAUUUCCCAUACCACCAUACUUCGCCACAGCAACGCGUGGCCGGGCACAGCUAGUAUAUAUAUAUACCGUGUUUCCCCAAAAAUAAGACAGUGUCUUAUAUUAAUUUUUGCUCCCAAAGAUGCACUAGGUCUUAUUUUCAGGAGAUGUCUUAUUUUUCCAUGAAGAAGAAUUCACAUUUAUUAUUGAACAAAAAAUGAACAUUUUAUAUAUACAGUAGAGUCUCACUUAUCCAAGCUAAACGGGCCGGCAGAAGCUUGGAUAAGCGAAUAUCUUGGAUAAUAAGGAGGGAUUAAGGAAAAGCCUAUUAAACAUCAAAUUAGGUUAUGAUUUUACAAAUUAAGCACCAAAACAUCAUGUUAUACAAUAAAUUUGACAGAAAAAGUAGUUCAAUACGCAGUAAUGUGAUGUUGUAAUUACUGUAUUUACGAAUUUAGCACCAAAAUAUCACGAUAUAUUGAAAACAUUGACUACAAAAAUGGCUUGGAUAAUCCAGAGGCUUGGAUAAGCGAGGCUUGGAUAAGUGAGACUCUACUGUAGUAGGACCAGGCUGUGGCACAGCUGGUUAAUAGCCAGCUGCAAUAAAUCACUACUGACCGAGAGGUCAUGAGUUCGAAGCCAGCCCGGGUCAGAGUAAGCUCCUGACCAUUAAUAGUCUAGCUUGCUUUGACCUAAAGACAGUUGCAUCUGUCAAGUAGGAAAUUUAGGUACCGCUUUAUGCGAGGAAGCUAAUUUAACGAAUUUACGACAACAUAAAAGCAAGCAGCAUGCGGAAAGGAAUGAGGAAGUACUACCAUCAAGGAUUCGGUAUCACAAGUGGGAGAUGAAAUGGCCGGAAUCAAACAUACCCCCAUGAAGCCAGAAGCUGGAAAAUGUUAAAUUGCCUCUGUGUCUAUCUAUAUGUUGUAUGUUUAAUGGCAUUGAAUGUUUGCCAUGUAUAUGUGCGUUGUGAUCCGCCCUGAGUCCCCUUCAGGAUGAGAAAGAAGGGCAGAAUAUAAAUGCUGUAAAUAAAAAAAAAUAUCUCAGUAUCAGGAAAGUGUGGGCAUUUCACACAGUUUUCCAGAUGCUUGAUUCCAAUUCUCAUCUACUAUAGGCAACAUGAUUGAUACUACGCAUCGAAUAGGACACAGAAGCCCUCCUCGAUAGAGACUUACCUUUUGCACAAUCUCCGCCAAGUCUCCGCAAAGCCAGAUGAUGUCUCGGCUGGCCGAAUAGUCAUGCAAGUGGGAGAAGAGAUACCUGCAAGAAGAUACUGGUGAUAAUGCAAGGAUGCUGAGCACGGAAAGUCAUGUUCGCUGAUGUCACAUAGAGCUCUCAACACCUGCACAUUAGUGGAUGUCUUUCCAUCUCUCGUGCGCCAAGAAGGAGACUUCCAGUCACCGCUAGAGGGAGGUCCCAUUGCGGGGAGAAGAAUGCCAGCCUUGUCUGCUCCAGAAAUUGCAGAAAUGCCCUCAAUGGCACCAGCAAUUAUGUCCCGGGACAACCGUUGAGCAAUUUCACCGGCAAGAUCAGAAUUACUGGAUCCCUCUCGCAAUAAACUCAGCGGCCGUGUGUCUAUCCAUCAUGCAUCCUUACAAAGCUACCGUUUUGAUGCACUCCCUAGCUACAUUGAAAUGUGUAUGUCGUUAGAAAUACAUACGCUGUAUAUAUUUUCUUUUCUCUAUAAAUAAAAGUCAAAGUCUCUAUCUAU
Long non-coding RNA from Anolis carolinensis (green anole), 2771 nucleotides. RefSeq lists it as uncharacterized. NCBI's taxonomy places the organism in Eukaryota, Metazoa, Chordata, Lepidosauria, Squamata, Anolidae. The record is from RefSeq and is a predicted model, not a curated record. The transcript is spliced from 2 exons.